RNAcentral lists this transfer RNA (97 nucleotides) under Amborella trichopoda. Its description in RNAcentral is "tRNA AMTR_s00282t00273930". The record is from RNAcentral. Lineage: Eukaryota; Viridiplantae; Streptophyta; Magnoliopsida; Amborellales; Amborellaceae.
GUUGUACUAGUACAGACUACUAGUACAUGUACUACUACUAUUAGUAUAUGUAGUACUCGUACUACUCGUAGUAGUACAAGUACUACUAGUACAACUC